UACGUAGGGAGCAAGCGUUGUCCGGAAUCAUUGGGCGUAAAGCGCGCGUAGGUGGCCACAUAAGUCCGUUGUGAAAGUCAAAGGCUCAACCUUUGAAAGCCGAUGGAUACUGUGUGGCUAGAGUACGGAAGAGGCGAGUGGAAUUCCUGGUGUAGCGGUGAAAUGCGCAGAUAUCAGGAGGAACACCAAUUGCGAAGGCAGCUCGCUGGGACGUAACUGACGCUGAGACGCGAAAGCGUGGGGAGCAAACAGG
RNAcentral lists this ribosomal RNA (253 nucleotides) under uncultured bacterium. RNAcentral describes it as "partial 16S ribosomal RNA". It matches the Rfam family "Bacterial small subunit ribosomal RNA", at positions 524 to 776 of the family's 1533-position model. The record is from RNAcentral.